UACGUAGGGGGCAAGCGUUGUCCGGAUUUAUUGGGCGUAAAGAGCGUGUAGGCGGCCAGGUAGGUCCGCUGUGAAAACUCGAGGCUCAACCUCGAGAUGUCGGCGGAAACCAUCUGGCUAGAGUCCGGGAGAGGAGAGUGGAAUUCCUGGUGUAGCGGUGGAAUGCGCAGAUAUCAGGAAGAACACCCGUGGCGAAAGCGGCUCUCUGGAACGGUACUGACGCUGAGACGCGAAAGCGUGGGGAGCGAACAGG
RNAcentral lists this ribosomal RNA (253 nucleotides) under uncultured bacterium. RNAcentral's name for it is "partial 16S ribosomal RNA". It matches the Rfam family "Bacterial small subunit ribosomal RNA", at positions 524 to 776 of the family's 1533-position model. The record is from RNAcentral.